RNAcentral lists this long non-coding RNA (1180 nucleotides) under Ananas comosus (pineapple). Its description in RNAcentral is "long non-coding RNA (ACOM_LNC015110)". The record is from RNAcentral. Lineage: Eukaryota; Viridiplantae; Streptophyta; Magnoliopsida; Poales; Bromeliaceae.
AUUAUACCCUAUAUUUCUAAUUAAUUAUCCACAUUAAAUUUUUUAAAUAGUAAUAAAGUAUUAAUAUCUAAAUUAGAAAAUUCUUAAUUUUUUUCAAAAAUAUUAAAUAUGUUGAAUUUAAAUAUUUACCGACGUUCAAUUUUUUAAAAUUAGUAAUACAAAAUUAAUGUCUAAACAAGAAAAAUUCAUAAUUUUAUUAAACAUAUUACAUAUGUUAAAUUUAAAUAUUUACCAACAUUACAAGUUUUUUAAAUAGUGAUACAAAAUUAAUGUCUAAAGCAGAAUAAUUUUAAAAGUUUUUUAACAUAUUAAAUACAUUUAAUUUAUAAUUUUUUUACCUACAUUCAAAUUCUUUUAAAUAAGUGAUACAAAAUUAAGAUCUAAACUAUGGAAAUUGAAAAGUUUCUUAAACAUAUUAAAUAUGUUGAAUUAAAAUAUUUACCAACAUUACAAAUUUUUUAAAUAGUAAUACAAAAUUCCUCUAACUUAAAUUUAAAUUUUUAAUUUUUAAUAUUUAAUAUUUAAUAUUAAUUUAAAUUAAUGCCUAAAUUUGAGAAACACUAAAAUUUCUAAAAUGAAUGCCUAAAUUAAUGCCUGUAUUAAUGCUUAAAUUUGGGUAAUCAAUCAAUUCCCCAAAUUAGUGCAAAUUAAUACGUAAAUUUGAUAUCAAUUAAAACUUUUUUUCAAUGUUGUUGCAUAGUUUAAUUACAAAAAAUAACCUCGAAUGAAGUAACCCGUUUACCUGCUAAAUAAUAAAAUUACAUUUUUAUUUUCUAUUAAUCAACGGUUAAAUUUUUUUUAUUUUCUAUAAAAUAAAGUGCCAAAUUAUUUCUCAAAAUUUAAAUUAUUAUAAAAUAAAAUAACUCCAACACCAACCACGGCCCACCCCCGCACACAACAAAUACUCAAAUGGCUCAAAUUGAAUGACAAAGUCAUAUUUUCCACGAGAAUAAUAAAAAAAUAAGGAGAAACACAUGCGCGCACAACAAAUAGCACAAACUGAGCAACAAGUCAUAUUUCCCAUCAAAACAAUAAAAAAUAAAUAAAACUCAUGGUUCCAAUAAAAAAUAAACAAAACCUAUAAAUAGCCACCUCUACAACCACUUACCCACAUAUACACAACAAAUCGCUGAUGUCGGUCCACGAACCUAUAAAUAGCCACCUCCGUAAGAGCCUACUC